GGGGGCGUAGUUCAAUUGGUAGAGCGUCUGACUCCAGAUCAGAAGGUUGCGUGUUCAAGUCACGUCGUCCUCA
Molecule: transfer RNA, 73 nt
Organism: Acanthamoeba castellanii str. Neff
Lineage: Eukaryota; Discosea; Longamoebia; Acanthamoebidae
Rfam family: tRNA
About the family: Transfer RNA (tRNA) molecules are approximately 80 nucleotides in length. Their secondary structure includes four short double-helical elements and three loops (D, anti-codon, and T loops). Further hydrogen bonds mediate the characteristic L-shaped molecular structure. tRNAs have two regions of fundamental functional importance: the anti-codon, which is responsible for specific mRNA codon recognition, and the 3' end, to which the tRNAs corresponding amino acid is attached (by aminoacyl-tRNA synthetases). tRNAs cope with the degeneracy of the genetic code in two manners: having more than one tRNA (with a specific anti-codon) for a particular amino acid; and 'wobble' base-pairing, i.e. permitting non-standard base-pairing at the 3rd anti-codon position.
Source: Rfam